GACGAACGCUGGCGGCGUGCCUAAUACAUGCAAGUAGAACGCUGAAACUUGGUGCUUGCACCGAGCGGAUGAGUUGCGAACGGGUGAGUAACGCGUAGGUAACCUGCCUGGUAGCGGGGGAUAACUAUUGGAAACGAUAGCUAAUACCGCAUAAGAGUAGAUGUUGCAUGACAUUUGCUUAAAAGGUGCAAUUGCACCACUACCAGAUGGACCUGCGUUGUAUUAGCUAGUUGGUGGGGUAACGGCCCACCAAGGCGACGAUACAUAGCCGACCUGAGAGGGUGGUCGGCCAAACUGGGACUGGGACACGGCCCAGAAUCCUACGGGAGGCAGCAGUAGGGAAUCUUCGGCAAUGGACGGAAGGCUGACCGAGCAACGCCGCGUGAGGGAAGAAGGUUUUCGGAUCGUAAAGCUCUGUUGUAAGAGAAGAACGAGAGUGAGAGUGGAAAGUUCACACUGUGACGGUAUCUUACCAGAAAGGGACGGCUAACUACGUG
RNAcentral lists this ribosomal RNA (497 nucleotides) under uncultured bacterium. RNAcentral's name for it is "partial 16S ribosomal RNA". It matches the Rfam family "Bacterial small subunit ribosomal RNA", at positions 28 to 507 of the family's 1533-position model. The record is from RNAcentral.